This 505-nucleotide ribosomal RNA is filed under the name uncultured Ehrlichia sp. Its description in RNAcentral is "bacterial SSU rRNA". It matches the Rfam family "Bacterial small subunit ribosomal RNA", at positions 152 to 691 of the family's 1533-position model. The record is from RNAcentral. Lineage: Bacteria; Pseudomonadati; Pseudomonadota; Alphaproteobacteria; Rickettsiales; Anaplasmataceae.
AGAAAUGAUGGGUAAUACUGUAUAAUCCCUGCGGGGGAAAGAUUUAUCGCUAUUAGAUGAGCCUACGUUAGAUUAGCUAGUUGGUAAGGUAAUGGCUUACCAAGGCUAUGAUCUAUAGCUGGUCUGAGAGGAUGAUCAGCCACACUGGAACUGAGAUACGGUCCAGACUCCUACGGGAGGCAGCAGUGGGGAAUAUUGGACAAUGGGCGAAAGCCUGAUCCAGCUAUGCCGCAUGAGUGAAGAAGGCCUUCGGGUUGUAAAACUCUUUCAAUAGGGAAGAUAAUGACGGUACCUAUAGAAGAAGUCCCGGCAAACUCUGUGCCAGCAGCCGCGGUAAUACGGAGGGGGCAAGCGUUGUUCGGAAUUAUUGGGCGUAAAGGGCACGUAGGUGGACUAGUAAGUUAAAAGUGAAAUACCAAGGCUUAACCUUGGGGCGGCUUUUAAUACUGCUAGACUAGAGGUCGAAAGAGGAUAGCGGAAUUCCUAGUGUAGAGGUGAAAUUCGU